AGAUGUUGUUGGACUACAAGUCCCAUCAGCCCUAGCUGGCAUAGCCAAUGGUCAGGGGUGGUGGGACUUGAAGUCUAACAGCAUCU
Molecule: non-coding RNA, 86 nt
Organism: Podarcis lilfordi (Lilford's wall lizard)
Lineage: Eukaryota; Metazoa; Chordata; Lepidosauria; Squamata; Lacertidae
Source: the annotation of a GenBank genome assembly